Molecule: transfer RNA, 69 nt
Filed under: Nothobranchius kafuensis (Kafue killifish)
Lineage: Eukaryota; Metazoa; Chordata; Actinopteri; Cyprinodontiformes; Nothobranchiidae
Description: tRNA-His
Rfam family: tRNA
About the family: Transfer RNA (tRNA) molecules are approximately 80 nucleotides in length. Their secondary structure includes four short double-helical elements and three loops (D, anti-codon, and T loops).
Source: RNAcentral
GUGAUUAUAAUUUAAAUAAAAUACAAGGUUGUGAUCCUUGAAAUGAAGGUUAAAGCCCUUUUAAUCACA